AUUGAACGCUGGCGGCAUGCUUUACACAUGCAAGUCGAACGGCAGCGCGGGCUUCUGCCUGCCCGCGUGUGGCGAACGGGCGAGUAAUGCAUCGGAACGUGCCCAGCAGUGGGGGAUAGCCUGACGAAAGCCGGACUAAUACCGCACACGACCUGAGGGUGAAAGCGGGGGAUCGAAAGGCCUCGCGCGUUUGGAGCGGCCGACGUCGGAUUAGCUAGUUGGUGGGGUAAAGGCUUACCAAGGCGACGAUCCAUAGCUGGUCUGAGAGGACGACCAGCCACACUGGGACUGAGACACGGCCCAGACUCCUACGGGAGGCAGCAGUGGGGAAUUUUGGACAAUGGGGGAAAGCCUGAUCCAGCCAUGCCGCGUGCGGGAAGAAGGCCUUCGGAUUGUAAAACGCUUUUGUUCGGGAAGAAAACCUGUGGGCUAAUACCCCGGGGGGAUGACGGUACCGGAAGAAUAAGCACCGGCUAACUACGUG
RNAcentral lists this ribosomal RNA (484 nucleotides) under uncultured bacterium. RNAcentral's name for it is "partial 16S ribosomal RNA". It matches the Rfam family "Bacterial small subunit ribosomal RNA", at positions 29 to 507 of the family's 1533-position model. The record is from RNAcentral.